Molecule: ribosomal RNA, 446 nt
Filed under: uncultured bacterium
Lineage: Bacteria
Description: SSU rRNA
Rfam family: Bacterial small subunit ribosomal RNA
Source: RNAcentral
AGAACGAACGCUGGCGGCAGGCUUAACACAUGCAAGUCGAACGGUUGUAGCAAUACAGCAGUGGCAGACGGGUGAGUAACACGUGGGAACCUUCCUAGGGGUACGGAACAACUCAGGGAAACUUGAGCUAAUACCGUAUACGUCCGUGAGGAGAAAGUUUUAACGCCCCUAGACGGGCCCGCGUAGGAUUAGGUAGUUGGUGAGGUAACGGCUCACCAAGCCUACGAUCCUUAGCUGAUCUGAGAGGAUGAUCAGCCACACUGGGACUGAGACACGGCCCAGACUCCUACGGGAGGCAGCAGUGGGGAAUCUUGGACAAUGGGCGCAAGCCUGAUCCAGCCAUGCCGCGUGAGUGAAGAGGCCUUAGGGUUGUAAAGCUCUUUUGUCGGGGACGAUAAUGACGGUACCGAAGAAUAAGCUCCGGCUAACUUCGUGCCAGCAGCCGC